Molecule: unclassified non-coding RNA, 342 nt
Filed under: soil metagenome
Description: partial contains 5.8S ribosomal RNA, internal transcribed spacer 2, and large subunit ribosomal RNA
Rfam family: 5.8S ribosomal RNA (bases 1-120)
Source: RNAcentral
GAUGAAGAACGUAGCGAAAUGCGAUAAGUAGUGUGAAUUGCAGAAUUCAGUGAAUCAUCGAAUCUUUGAACGCACAUUGCGCCCUUUGGUAUUCCAAAGGGCAUGCCUGUUCGAGCGUCAUUUGUACCCUCAAGCUUUGCUUGGUGUUGAGCGUCUUGUCUCUAGCUUUGCUGGAGACUCGCCUUAAAGUAAUUGGCAGCCGGCCUACUGGUUUCGGAGCGCAGCACAAGUCGCACUCUCUAUCAGCAAAGGUCUAGCAUCCAUUAAGCCUUUUUUUUCAACUUUUGGCCUCGGAUCAGGUAGGGAUACCCGCUGAACUUAAGCAUAUCAAUAAGCGGAGGA